AACGCUGGCGGCAUGCCUAAUACAUAGCAAGUCGAACGAAGGGCCUUUAGUAAGUGCUUGCACUUAGACAAAGAAUAUCCCCUUAGUGGCGAACGGGUGAGUAACACGUAGGUAACCUACCAUUUAGAUUGGGACAACAGUUGGAAACGACUGCUAAAACCAAAUGACAUUAUCGAUCGCAUGAUUGAUAUUAAAAAUAGCUACGGCUAUGCUAGAUGAUGGACCUGCGGCGUAUUAGCUAGUUGGUAAGGUAAUGGCUUACCAAGGCAACGAUACGUAGCCGACCUGAGAGGGUGAACGGCCACACUGGGACUGAGACACGGCCCAGACUCCUACGGGAGGCAGCAGUAGGGAAUUUUCCACAAUGGGGGCAACCCUGAUGGAGCAAUGCCGCGUGAGAGAAGAAGGCCUUCGGGUUGUAAAUCUCUGUUAUAAGGGAAGAAAGGUGUAGAGAGGGAAUGCUCUAUAUAAGACACUACCUUAUGAGAAAGCCACGGCUAACUACGUG
Molecule: ribosomal RNA, 508 nt
Filed under: uncultured bacterium
Lineage: Bacteria
Description: bacterial SSU rRNA
Rfam family: Bacterial small subunit ribosomal RNA
Source: RNAcentral